Molecule: long non-coding RNA, 5843 nt
Organism: Amphiprion ocellaris (clown anemonefish)
Lineage: Eukaryota; Metazoa; Chordata; Actinopteri; Pomacentridae
Source: Ensembl
GGCUGGGAUGCUUCGAUGGGUUGGUGUGAAUGCAUGCAUGCAUACCAGUGUGUACGUACAUGUGUGUUUCUGUGCAUGUGGUUUGUUGUAGGGUGGGUUUGGGGAGACGUUUGUGAAGGCUUCGUGUUUGUGUGUGUGUGUGUGUGUGUGUGUGUUGCGCAUGCCUAUGCCAGGCUGGGUCUGCGUCUCGAUCUAUGUGCUGCAUACGUGUGUGUCUGGCUUCAUGCGGUGACUGCGCAUGUCUGUCACUGUGUGGGUGGUUUGGGUGCUCAGCUCUGCAAGGUCUGUGUGUGUGUGUGUGUGUGUGUGUGUGUGUGUGUGUGUGUGUGUGUGUGUGUGUGUGUGUGUGUGUGUGUGUGUGUGUGUGUGUGUGUGUGUGUGAGAGUGGGUGGUAUGUGCACAGAGGUUGAGAUGAGUGGCUGUUUGUUUUUGUCUGCCUCACAGAGAGGCAUACCUUUCUUUCCUCUGCCUUAUACAUGCGUGCACAUCUGCAGAGUCACAUAUCUGCGUCCACAGCACACGCGUGUCGUAUCAAAGCUGCACAUGGAUUGCGGCCAUGUUGCGUUUCAAAGCUGCAGCUGUACUUUUCCUGGACGAGCUUUUUUUUAAAAAUCAUUUAAAUGUAUAGUCACUUCCAGACAAAGCAGAUUACUUCUAUCAGCCCUUCCUUCCUUCUAGACUUCCUUGUCUCCCACAUUCCCUUCCUGAAUGUCCCGUCGCUGCCUGCUAAACGUCCUGUAGUCCUGCAUGGGACAGCAGCACAACUGCAGCCAGGACUCUGACACCCCCCCCCCCCCCCCCCCCCCCCCCCCGCCUCCAUCUCUUCAUUUUUUUCCCUCUUGCUCUCUGUCCUCGCUUCUCUCAGAGCGCUUCUCUGUCUUCUCUUUUCUUUGUUUACAUCUCUUUCUGUCUCGCCUCCUCUUUAUGUAUACAUUUCUCUCUGUCUCUCUCCCUGGCUGUCCCCUGAUGUCUCUCUUCCUCUCUCUCUCUCUUCAUACACACACACAGGAAGGAGCUAAAUAGUGUCGGUCCCUUGUUGCUUCAUUACGUGAACCAUCAUUUUCCAUCCACCGCUGCUUCAUUUCUGUCUCGACUCCAUUUUCUUCACAGAAUGCAAAUCCCUGCCAAACUCUCCCCUGUAUAUCUGGAUCCCCGUGCAUGUGUGAGAGUGUGUGCAUGUGUGAGAGUGUGUGCAUGUGUGAGAGUGUGUGCAUGUGUGAGAGUGUGUGCAUGUGUGAGAGUGUGUGCAUGUGUGAGAGUGUGUGCAUGUGUGAGAGUGUGUGCAUGUGUGGGUGAGCAUUUGCCGUAUACAACAACAGAUGGGGCUGCCAAAUAUGUUGCUGCGUGUGUGUGUGUGUGUGUGUGUGUGUGUGUGUGUGUGUGUGUGUGUGUGUGUGUGUGUGUGUGUGCAUACAUGUGGAAUGCAGAUAUGAAAAUAAAUGGGCGUUGGUAGAUAUGUCCAGACACUUCAGUGCUUUGUGUGUUUGCGGGACACUGUGAUCCAGUGUAAGAUAAUUUUUUUGUGUUUACUGCACCUUUAAUAAUCAGACUAUUGAUGAGGAAGGUCUCUCUGUCCCUAUAUUCCCCUGGCUGCCGUGGUCAACCAAUCAGAAUUUCCACAUGAGAUGCAGCCAAUCAUGAGGUGAAUACCAACCAGACUGUUGAACCAAGUGACCAAACGGGUUUAAAAAAUAUCAUUGUAAUUAUCUCUGAGUUGAGCAGUGAGGAGAGAGGAGGAGGAGGUGGUGCUGUUCUUCCUGAGGAGGAGAUGUUUGUUAAGAAUCUCUCAGGACAGACGAGGCAUUGCGGCAUUCUGCCGUCACAUGAGCGAAGCCUCAAUCCAGACAAAGACACAAGAGUGAGAGGAGAGAGGGGAGACUAAUGACAGGAGGAGGAGGAGGUGAUUGUCUCUCUCUGGCCCUGUGCUGCCUAGAUAAAUACCUGGGUGCUGGUUUGUUUAUGUAGCGUGGCAUUUUGCAGAAGGGUGGGGUUAGGGGCUGAAUGAAUAAACGGUAGAUUUGUCUAAAUCCCUCAAAACAGCUCCAGCAAGACAAGCAGCCACUUAGUGGACGCCGACGGUGAUCCAGAUACAGAAUGCAGCUUUGAAAAGUCUGGAAAACAAGAGAAACAAGCUGCAUUCUUUAUUCCACAAAGUUGAAUUUGCACUAAUUAUAUUGAAGAAUAGAAAAAACAUAUUUUAUGUCCAGAAACACAUUUGGCAGAUUUUUUUCCACCCCGCUGUCUUGUUAAGCGCUGCAAUAUGAUAAUGUGAAGACAUUUUUGCUGCAACUGUAGAGGCGAUCUGGCCUGGCUGGCUGUCGGUUUGCCAGCAGUUGUCAGUGUGUGUUACGUUAAACACCAGGCUAAUCUUCAGGUCAAGAAUUAGGGAUCUGGAAAAACUGUGGCUUUUUGACUCAACAGGACCCUGAUGAACAGAGGUGCUAUGGAUGUACAUGUAGUUUGACAGUACAGUGGUUCCCAACCUUUCCUUAUGAUGCCUUAUUUGAUAUGAAGUUGUAUCUAAUUUUAAUAAAGAGUUAGACCUAGAGCGCAGAAGAUCCAAUAAUUAAAUAAGAAGCUGAUCAACACUGUUACAUUUGCUGGCUCUUGCUCCUCCUGUGAUUCCAAAUGUAAAUAUUUGCUUGUCUUCUCAGUUGUCUGUGAUGCUAAAUUGAAUAUCAUUGGGUGUUUUAGACCGUUGGUUGGAAGAGACAAGCAGUUUGAAGGGCUCAGGAACCUGUGGUUUCACUCGCAAAACAAUUUCUCAACAGAGGCAAAGUAAUCGACAAGGAAAAUAAUAGCUGAAACCCUGGUUAAAAUGAUAGAAAAGAGAAAAAAAAAGCAAUAAUAUGUGUAAUUUCAUGUAGCAGAGAUAAGUUUUGCCAGACUUUCUAUUGGUGUCACAGGGAACCACAGUGUUGUCUAAUGGAGGCAGGAAAACAACAUGGAAGUUGAACAUUUUCUAAUUUUGAAAACUAAUUUUUGUCACUGUGAGAUCUGUAAAUGACAGGAAUGUGGGAGUCGUGAUCGGAGGGUGGAGGAGAGCUUUCUGUCUGUGGACGGGGCUUUGGACUGGGUUUCAGAACCAGGGUUUUUAAUCUAGAUUUGGUGUACUUACAACGAGCACAGCGAAAGCGUUACUUUCUUUAAUAUCUGUCUGUGUCCGUUUUAUUUCCUCUCUGAUUUUGAGGAAACGUUACAAGCCAGUAGCUGAACGCUGCUGAGAGAAGAAAGGAGAGAAUGAUUUUCAUAAAGAAGUUUUGAACACUCCUCUGACCUACAAAGAGCAAAAAACUGUAUUAUAGAACAGUAAGCCUUGGACUAUGGGCUGCAUAUCACACAGUAUCUUUUUAUGAGAUAUAAAACUUACCUGUGACCUUUUAAAAGUCAUCACAGGUUGCAGUUUUUGCCCCUUUGUAGGGCAGCUAUGACUGAGCACAGUUUUCUGACUAAAGGUUAAGUGGGGCCAGAGCAGAAGUUUUUUUGUUUGUUUUUUUCUCAAAGCGAUGAAAGUUAAAUUUUCUGUUAUCGUGUUCAUGUUUCCUACAUUUAAGUUAGCGUACUGUAGUUCUUGAAAGUUCUUUUAAAGGAGAUGCUACUAAUAAGUCAACAUUAACACCUGUAUGUAGAGUUGCCAAGUUGUGUUAAAAAAAAUUACAAAAAGAGAAAGCGGAGACAUGGUUAGCUGUAAAAUAGUUUAGAGAAAGAGAACCACAUAUUUUUGCAUUGUUGUAUGAUUGAGGUGCUGUGGGUGGGGAGGGUGGAGGCGUGUUUAAUGCUGUUGGGUUUUACUGUACUGCAGCUGUUGCCGGGACGGAAUCGGGAGCCGACUGAAAAACGGACGGACAGUCGAGGCAAACAAAACGCUGCCAGGCUCACUUCAUGUUAAGGCUACAAGUCUGAAUGUCUGUUUUGUAAAAAGUGGAUGAAAUGGAUGAAAUCUUACUCGACGUUUCAAACACAUCUUUGCCAAGCUUGCCUAAACUUACAUCACAAAUCGACCCAAAGUAAGUUUACUUGACCUGGUUCUCGGACCAGCUUUUCCACAAAGAAUAAGCUACUGCUGCUUGAAUGUUUUUUUUUCCUCUUUAGACGCCACCCGGUGGUUGAAUGCAGCUACUGCAACUCAGAGAAGGGGGGGCUCGGCCGCUGCAGUAACUGCUGACACCACCAGGUGGCGGGAUCCCACGAAGCAGUGAUCCUGCAGAAGCUGUGAUUGUAAUCAAAGAGUCUCGAUCACUGUAUUCAUCUGAGCACCUUAACAGCAGGCCGCCGGAGGCUUCUGCUGCUCAUGUUUUCAAAUCCGACACAAAAUCCACCAAAACGUCCACAACUCGUGGGCCGCGAUGCCAAAUAGAGCUGUCAGUAGAUUGAGAGUUGCUGACGUGACUUCCAAAAGAAAAGAGCACUGCAGCCGUUCUUGUGCUUCGACUCCUCCAUCCAGGAGCCGCUCCGUCUGUUUUUCACUCCCGGUCGCCGUCUUGGCUGCUGGUCCACAGAAAGGAACAAAAGUGAUGAGCAGAGAGUGGAAUAGUCUUUAAAAAAGCACCUUUGGGCGAGCGCUCAACUGUCAUGGAGAGCCAAAGCCCUCUGCACCUUCCUGAGCGCACUCACUGUGUCACUCCUGGCUGUGGUGUGGAUGUCGGUGUCGAAGUGGGGGGUGGGAACUGUAGAUGUAAUGUGAGUUUUUGCUUUAAAAAAAAAAAAUAUUGGUAAGUUCCUUAUUUUUGUUGUUUUUACCUUUUUGUACUAUUAUUCCCUUUUUUUAUUUUGUAUGUUUGUUUCUCUUCUCUCUGUAUGACAUUUGUUGUUUACUGUAAAGCGAUGGGGGUGCACCCUUCGACCUGCCUCCACUGGGUGGGAGUAGGAGAGAUUGGGGGGCGGUCCAGUUGGCUGAGGGUUACCUGUAGAGGGUGAAGGCUGGUGCUGAUUCAAACAGGGUUCCUACACAGACCUGGAGAGGAAUCAGGAAAAAACACCAAGGAAGGUGCGACAACCCAGCAAGCAUCUGAUGCUCCAUUUGUUCAGAGUCAACCCAAAACUUUCAGUAGAACUGGAAACCCAACUUUCAGAAGUUCUCCUCAAAAUGUCACAUUAUUUUCAUCUCAAAUCAAUGAAGUGAGCUUUGAUGUCUUUCCAACUCCAAUUUCUGUCAAAGCGCUCAUGGUGUUUGAUGGGAAAAUGCUCUGAUUUCUGAAAUUUUUGAAUUCAGUCAAAAUGUGAAAGGAAAAAUCCUCCCUGAGCAACAUUAACUAAGCAGCACAGGUGUUGAAAUCACGUUUACGCCUGCCAUAUUAUCACCUGAAAGUGUUGAGAAAGCACAUCUGGUGGCACAUCCAACUGAGAAACAUUGUCUUAUUUGAACUCCUGCACCUAAACGCUGAUGGGAAUGUGGCCAAAUUGAGACAAAUAAAAAGUCUUAAUGUUCGAUAGCAGUUUAGGAAGCAGAAGGUGGAUUUUUCCUGUGUAGAGACCCUGCUGAACACCUGGAGGAAUGUCAGCAUUUGUGUUACUCUGUAUUAAAACUGGCUAAACUUGAGAACAGAGGAGAGCGGGAAGGGGACGGAAGAUUCUUAAACCAAGAUCAUGAUCCUAAGGGGAAGCCUCACGGUUUAUCUCCACCUCUCCAUCCCUCCCUCUCUGCUCAGCCGCCUUCCUCCACCUCUUCCUCCACCUCUUCCUCCACCUCUUCCUCCUCAUCGCGGCCUCUCCUGCCCUCUAACUCUCUUUUCCUGCUGUCUGCUGGUCUAUAGUCUUCUAUUCAGAAACAUUUACUCUGCUCUUUCCCAAAUCCCCACACACCAGAGACAACACACACACUCUCACACACACACACACACAUC